AGUGAACGCUGGCGGUAGGCCUAACACAUGCAAGUCGAACGGCAGCACAGUAAGAGCUUGCUCUUACGGGUGGCGAGUGGCGGACGGGUGAGGAAUACAUCGGAAUCUACUUUUUCGUGGGGGAUAACGUAGGGAAACUUACGCUAAUACCGCAUACGACCUACGGGUGAAAGCAGGGGAUCUUCGGACCUUGCGCGAUUGAAUGAGCCGAUGUCGGAUUAGCUAGUUGGCGGGGUAAAGGCCCACCAAGGCGACGAUCCGUAGCUGGUCUGAGAGGAUGAUCAGCCACACUGGAACUGAGACACGGUCCAGACUCCUACGGGAGGCAGCAGUGGGGAAUAUUGGGCAAAGGGCGCAAGCCUGAUCCAGCCAUACCUCGUGGGUGAAGAAGGCCUUCGGGUUGUAAAGCCCUUUUGUUGGGAAAGAAAAGCAGCAGGUUAAUACCCCGCUGUUCUGACGGUACCCAAAGAAUAAGCACCGGCUAACUUCGUG
This 492-nucleotide ribosomal RNA is filed under the name uncultured bacterium. Its description in RNAcentral is "partial 16S ribosomal RNA". It matches the Rfam family "Bacterial small subunit ribosomal RNA", at positions 29 to 507 of the family's 1533-position model. The record is from RNAcentral.